AUCGGGGAUAUCAAUAAAUAAGUUUUCCUUCAUUUCAACGUAUUGUGUUAAAUACACCAAAGCCUGUAUGUUGAAGCUUGUAUGUUGAAGCUUUCUGAGUGGAGCAUGUAGGUUGGGGUAGUGUUCCCUGAAUUUUUCGAGUGAGGAAAACUUCUCGGUUGGAGACUUGGAAAAUCCAAGUCACUGAGUGGGAUCGGCUAUAUGAAUCUUAGAACGCCAUUGUGCUCGGUCCUGUGUCAUGUCCUUCGUUAAAUCCAAGUACUCUAAGUCUUUUCUUAGAGUCUCUUCCAAAGUUUUCUUAGGUCUUCCUCUACCCCUUCGGCCCUGAGCCUCUGUCCCAUAGUCGCAUCUUCUAAUCGGAGCGUCAGUAGGCCUUCUUUGCACAUGUCCAAACCACCGU
RNAcentral lists this long non-coding RNA (400 nucleotides) under Malus domestica (apple). RNAcentral's name for it is "long non-coding RNA (MDOM_LNC008020)". The record is from RNAcentral. Lineage: Eukaryota; Viridiplantae; Streptophyta; Magnoliopsida; Rosales; Rosaceae.